Molecule: ribosomal RNA, 279 nt
Filed under: uncultured bacterium
Lineage: Bacteria
Description: partial 16S ribosomal RNA
Rfam family: Bacterial small subunit ribosomal RNA
Source: RNAcentral
UGCCAGCAGCCGCGGUAAUACGGAGGGUGCGAGCGUUGUCCGGAAUUAUUGGGUUUAAAGGGUGCGUAGGCGGUCUUUUAAGUCAGAGGUGAAAUCCCACAGCUUAACUGUGGAACUGCCUUUGAUACUGGAAGACUUGAAUAUGGUUGAGGUAAGCGGAAUUGAAGGUGUAGCGGUGAAAUGCAUAGAUAUCUUCAAGAACACCAAUUGCGAAGGCAGCUUACUGGCCCAUUAUUGACGCUGAGGCACGAAAGCAUGGGUAGCGAACAGGAUUAGAUA